AUGGAGUACACUGUUGUAGUAGCUGAAAUGGCGGAUUCACCUGCUACAUUACAAUACCUCGCUCCUUAUACGGGAGCAGCCCUGGCUGAGUAUUUUAUGUACUCUGAACGGCAUACUUUAAUAAUUUAUGAUGAUCUCUCCAGACAGGCACAAGCUUAUCGCCAAAUGUCCCUUCUAUUAAGAAGACCUCCCAGCCAUGAGGCUUAUCCAGGGGAUGUUUUUUAUUUGCAUUCACGCCUUUUAGAAAGAGCCGCUAAAUUAAAUUCUCUUUUAGGCGAAGGAAGUAUGACCGCUUUACCAAUAGUUGAGACUCAAUCUCGAGACGUUUCCGCCUAUAUUCCUGCUAAUGUAAUCUCCAUUACAGAUGGACAAAUAUUCUUAUCUGCGGAUCUAUUCCAUGCUGGAAUUUGA
This 411-nucleotide ribosomal RNA is filed under the name Triticum aestivum (bread wheat). Its description in RNAcentral is "partial small subunit ribosomal RNA". Lineage: Eukaryota; Viridiplantae; Streptophyta; Magnoliopsida; Poales; Poaceae. The record is from RNAcentral.